Neopsephotus bourkii (Bourke's parrot) is the source of this 525-nucleotide long non-coding RNA. RefSeq lists it as uncharacterized. The transcript is spliced from 3 exons. The record is from RefSeq and is a predicted model, not a curated record. NCBI's taxonomy places the organism in Eukaryota, Metazoa, Chordata, Aves, Psittaciformes, Psittacidae.
UCCAAAAAUAAUGUAUCAAAUUCACACAGAAACAUUCAUAAACAAUUACUAAUGAAAACAGGCAGGCAUGUACCCUUUAGCACACCCUGAAACAACUGUGGAUGCUGAGGAGCAGGAAGAGGAUGGACUGCAGGAUGUGGCAAGGCUCACUUGCUUUCAGAGCAGCAGGAAUCCAACAGCAACCUUUUUGCAGCCCAGGUACUGGCAGCAGUGCUGAUGAGCAAUUCAAAGUUCCAGGCAUUUCCUCUUGCCUCUUGGAUCAAUCAAAAAUUUGGGAAGAAACAUUCUGAAACCAAGUUAGGAAAGAAGCAAAAAGACUGGAGGAGAGAACAGGUUGUGGAAGAAACUUUGUCCUUCCAGACUGGAUUUUCAGUCCAUACUGCAAAGACACAAGGUGUUUGCAAUGAUACCUAACACACUCCCUACUCCGUCUAGAUGAUUAGGACCACAGAAACAUCCUUGGUGUGUUCAGAAGUUAUCACCCCAGAACGUAUGAGUCUUCUCUAUUGGUUUGAUGGUUAACCA